GGUCAAGUUAUUAAGGGUGCAGGGCGGAUGCCUUGGCACUAGGAGCCGAUGAAGGACGUGAUAAGCUGCGAUAAGCUUCGGGGAGUUGCACGUAAACUUUGAUCCGAAGAUUUCCGAAUGAGGAAACUCACUUAGAGUAAUGUCUAAGUAUCAUUAAGUGAAUACAUAGCUUAAUGAGGGGAACUCAGGGAACUGAAACAUCUAAGUACCUGAAGGAAGAGAAAGAAAUUCGAUUCCGUAAGUAGCGGCGAGCGAACGCGGAUUAGCCCAAACCAAUAAAGUUUUCUUUAUUGGGGUUGCGGACAUAUCAUAACGAAGAGGUAUCGUAAUUGAAGAGGUUUGGAAAGACCCACCACAGAAGGUAAUAGUCCUGUAUGUUAAACGAGAAGACUUCAGAUAUGAUCCAGAGUACCACGGGACACGUGAAACCCUGUGGGAAGCAGGAGGGACCACCCUCCAAGGCUAAAUACUACCUAGUGACCGAUAGCGUAUAGUACCGUGAGGGAAAGGUGAAAAGAACCCCGGGAGGAGUGAAAUAGAACCUGAAACCCUGCACUUACAAGCUGUGGAAGCACAUUUCUUGUGUGACCGCGUACUUUUUGUAGAACGGGCCAACGAGUUACGUUAAGUAGCAAGGUUAAGCACUUAAGGUGUGGAGCCGUAGCGAAAGCGAGUUUUAACUGAGCGUUCAGUUACUUGACGUAGACCCGAAACCGGGCGACCUACCCAUGAGCAGGAUGAAGCGAAAGUAAAAUUUCGUGGAGGUCCGAACCCACGAGCGUUGAAAAGCUCGGGGAUGACUUGUGGGUAGCGGUGAAAUUCCAAUCGAGCCCGGAGAUAGCUGGUUCUCCCCGAAAUAGCUUUAGGGCUAGCCUCAAGGUGAGAGAUACGGAGGUAGAGCACUGAAUGUCCUAGGGGGUAUUGCACCUACCGAAGACUAUCAAACUCCGAAUGCCGUCAUCUUAUACUUGGGAGUCAGACUGUGGGUGAUAAGAUUCAUAGUCGAAAGGGCAACAGCCCAGAUCGUCAGCUAAGGUCCCUAAAUGUAAGUUAAGUGGUAAAGGAUGUGGGAUUGCACAGACAACCAGGAUGUUGGCUUAGAAGCAGCCACUCAUUCAAAGAGUGCGUAAUAGCUCACUGGUCGAGUGAUCCUGCGCCGAAGAUUUCCGGGGCUAAAACUUACUACCGAAGCUACGGCAUCAGUAAUGAUGGGUAGGGGAGCUUCCCAUACGGGUUGAAGCAUGACCGUAAGGACAUGUGGACAGUAUGGGAGUGAGAAUGUUGGCAUGAGUAGCGAGAUGUGGGUGAGAAUCCCACAGGCCGUAAACCCAAGGUUUCCAGGGGAAGGUUCGUCCGCCCUGGGUUAGUCGGGACCUAAGCUGAGGCCGAAAGGCGUAGGUGAUGGACAACAGGUUGAUAUUCCUGUACUACCGAUAACCGUUUGAGAGAAGGGAUGACACAGUAGGAUAAGCUAAGCACACUGUUGGUUAUGUGUGCCCAAGCAUUGAGGCAGUCAAAGUAGGCAAAUCCGCUUUGAUAAUGCUGGGAUGUGAUGGGGAGCGAAAUUUAGUAGCGAAGUAGCUGAUUUCACACUGUCAAGAAAAGUCUCUAUCGAGGUUAAAGGUACCCGUACCGCAAACCGACACAGGUGGGUGAGGAGAGUAUCCUAAGGCCAGCGAGAGAACUGUUGUUAAGGAACUCGGCAAAAUGACCCCGUAACUUAGGGAUAAGGGGUGCCACCAUCAGGUGGCCGCAGAGAAUAGGCCCAAGCGACUGUUUACCAAAAACAUAGGUUUCUGCUAAGUCGCAAGACGAUGUAUAGGAGCUGACGCCUGCCCGGUGCUGGAAGGUUAAGGGGAUCUGUUAGAGCAAUCGAAGCAGUGAACUUAAGCCCCAGUAAACGGCGGCCGUAACUAUAACGGUCCUAAGGUAGCGAAAUUCCUUGUCGGGUAAGUUCCGACCCGCACGAAAGGCGUAACGAUUUGGGCACUGUCUCAACAACAGACUCGGUGAAAUUGUAAUUCCGGUGAAGAUGCCGGAUACCUGCGACAGGACGGAAAGACCCCAUGGAGCUUUACUGUAGCUUGACAUUGGGUUUUGGUACUACAUGUACAGGAUAGGUGGGAGGCUUUGAAACCAGGACGCCAGUUUUGGCGGAGCCAUCCUUGGGAUACCACCCUUGUAGUACUGGGACUCUAACCAUAGGCCAUGAAUCUGGUCUUGGGACACUGUCAGGUGGGCAGUUUGACUGGGGCGGUCGCCUCCCAAAAGGUAACGGAGGCGCUCAAAGGUUCUCUCAGUACGGUCGGAAAUCGUACGUAGAGUGUAAAGGCAAAAGAGAGCUUGAUUGCAAGACAUACAGGUCGAGCAAGGAUGAAAAUCGGACUUAGUGAUCCGGUGGUUCUGCGUGGAAGGGCCAUCGCUCAACGGAUAAAAGCUACCCUGGGGAUAACAGGCUUAUCUCCCCCAAGAGUCCACAUCGACGGGGAGGUUUGGCACCUCGAUGUCGGCUCAUCACAUCCUGGGGCUGUAGUAGGUCCCAAGGGUUGGGCUGUUCGCCCAUUAAAGUGGUACGCGAGCUGGGUUCAGAACGUCGUGAGACAGUUCGGUCCCUAUCCGUCGCAGGCGUAGGAAAUUUGAGAAGACCUGUCCUUAGUACGAGAGGACCGGGAUGGACGUACCUCUGGUGUACCAGUUGUUCUGCCAAGGGCAUGGCUGGGUAGCUAUGUACGGAAUGGAUAAGCGCUGAAAGCAUCUAAGCGCGAAGCCAACUUCAAGAUAAGAUUUCCCACCGCAAGGGUAAGAUCCCAGAAAGACUAUCUGGUUGAUAGGUCGAAGGUGUAAGUGCAGCAAUGUAUUUAGCUUAUCGAUACUAAUAGGUCGAGGACUUGACCAA
This 2896-nucleotide ribosomal RNA is filed under the name Clostridioides difficile. RNAcentral's name for it is "23S ribosomal RNA". It matches the Rfam family "Bacterial large subunit ribosomal RNA". The record is from RNAcentral. Lineage: Bacteria; Bacillati; Bacillota; Clostridia; Peptostreptococcales; Peptostreptococcaceae.